RNAcentral lists this small nuclear RNA (117 nucleotides) under Propithecus coquereli (Coquerel's sifaka). Its description in RNAcentral is "U5 spliceosomal RNA (ENSPCOG00000010509.1)". It matches the Rfam family "U5 spliceosomal RNA". From Rfam's summary of the family: U5 RNA is a component of both types of known spliceosome. The precise function of this molecule is unknown, though it is known that the 5' loop is required for splice site selection and p220 binding, and that both the 3' stem-loop and the Sm site are important for Sm protein binding and cap methylation. The record is from Rfam by way of RNAcentral. Lineage: Eukaryota; Metazoa; Chordata; Mammalia; Primates; Indriidae.
AUACUCUGAUUUCUCUUCAAAACGAACAAAUCUUUCGCCUUUUACUAAAGAUUUCCAUGGAGAGGGACAGUUAUGAGUUGGUAACCAAAUUUUUUGAGGUCUUGCUUAGGCAAGGCU